CAGCAGCCGCGGUAAUACGAAGGGGGCUAGCGUUGUUCGGAUUUACUGGGCGUAAAGGGCGCGUAGGCGGGCGAUUAAGUCAGGGGUGAAAUCCCAAGGCUCAACCUUGGAACUGCCUUUGAUACUGAUUGUCUUGAGUUCGAGAGAGGUAAGUGGAACUGCGAGUGUAGAGGUGAAAUUCGUAGAUAUUCGCAAGAACACCAGUGGCGAAGGCGGCUUACUGGCUCGAUACUGACGCUGAGGCGCGAAAGCGUGGGGAGCAAACAAGAUUAGAUACCCCAGUAGUCCCUGUCUCUUAUAC
This 301-nucleotide ribosomal RNA is filed under the name uncultured bacterium. RNAcentral's name for it is "partial 16S ribosomal RNA". It matches the Rfam family "Bacterial small subunit ribosomal RNA", at positions 509 to 807 of the family's 1533-position model. The record is from RNAcentral.